AGAGUUUGAUCAUGGCUCAGAACGAACGCUGGCGGCAGGCUUAACACAUGCAAGUCGAACGCACCUUUCGGGGUGAGUGGCAGACGGGUGAGUAACGCGUGGGAACGUGCCCUUCAGUUCGGAAUAACCCAGGGAAACUUGGGCUAAUACCGGAUACGUGCGAGAGCAGAAAGAUUUAUCGCUGAAGGAUCGGCCCGCGUCUGAUUAGCUAGUUGGUAGGGUAAUGGCCUACCAAGGCGACGAUCAGUAGCUAGUCUGAGAGGAUGAUCAGCCACAUUGGGACUGAGACACGGCCCAAACUCCUACGGGAGGCAGCAGUGGGGAAUAUUGGACAAUGGGCGCAAGCCUGAUCCAGCCAUGCCGCGUGAGUGAUGAAGGCCUUAGGGUUGUAAAGCUCUUUCAGUGGGGACGAUAAUGACGGUACCCGCAGAAGAAGCCCCGGCUAACUUCGUGCCAGCAGCCGCGGUAAUACGAAGGGGGCUAGCGUUGUUCGGAAUCACUGGGCGUAAAGGGCGCGUAGGCGGCUUGAUAAGUCGGGGGUGAAAGCCUGUGGCUCAACCACAGAAUUGCCUUCGAUACUGUCUGGCUUGAGACCGGAAGAGGUAAGUGGAACUGCGAGUGUAGAGGUGAAAUUCGUAGAUAUUCGCAAGAACACCAGUGGCGAAGGCGGCUUACUGGUCCGGUUCUGACGCUGAGGCGCGAAAGCGUGGGGAGCAAACAGGAUUAGAUACCCUAGUAGUCC
This 742-nucleotide ribosomal RNA is filed under the name uncultured bacterium. RNAcentral describes it as "bacterial SSU rRNA". It matches the Rfam family "Bacterial small subunit ribosomal RNA", at positions 8 to 796 of the family's 1533-position model. The record is from RNAcentral.